AGUGAACGCUGGCGGUAGGCCUAACACAUGCAAGUCGAACGGCAGCACAGUAAGAGCUUGCUCUUACGGGUGGCGAGUGGCGGACGGGUGCGGCAUACAUCGGAAUCUACUUUUUCGUGGGGGAUAACGUAGGGAAACUUACGCUAAUACCUCAUACGAACUACGGGUGAAAGCAGGGGAUCUUCGGACCUUGCGCGAUUGAAUGAGCCGAUGUCGGAUUGGCAAGUUGGCGGGGUAAAGGCCCACCAAAGCGACGAUCCGUAGCUGGACUGACAGGAGGAUCGGCUACACUGGAACUGAUACACGGUCCAGACUCCUACGGGAGGCACCAGUGGGGAAUAGUGGACCAUGGGGUCAAGCCUGAUCCAGCCAUACCGCGUGGGUGAAGAAGGCGUUCAGGUUGUAAAGCCCUUUUGUUGGGAAAGAAAAGCAGCAGGUUAAUACCCCGCUGUUCUGACGGUACCCAAACAAUAAGCACCGGCUAACUUCGUG
Molecule: ribosomal RNA, 492 nt
Filed under: uncultured bacterium
Lineage: Bacteria
Description: partial 16S ribosomal RNA
Rfam family: Bacterial small subunit ribosomal RNA
Source: RNAcentral